This 253-nucleotide ribosomal RNA is filed under the name uncultured bacterium. RNAcentral's name for it is "partial 16S ribosomal RNA". It matches the Rfam family "Bacterial small subunit ribosomal RNA", at positions 524 to 776 of the family's 1533-position model. The record is from RNAcentral.
GACAGAGGUGCCGAGCGUUAGGCGGAAUUACUGGGCGUAAAGCGUGCGCAGGCGGUUGGGUCAGUCGCUGGUGAAAGCCCCACGCUCAACGUGGGAAUGGCCAACGAGACGGCCCGACUGGAGGCAGGGAGAGGCCGGUGGAAUUCCGGGUGUAGUGGUGAAAUGCGUAGAGAUCCGGAGGAACACCAAUUGCGAAGGCAGCUCGCUGGGACGUUACUGACGCUGAGACGCGAAAGCGUGGGGAGCAAACAGG